UACAGAGGGUGCAAGCGUUAAUCGGAGUUACUGGGCGUAAAGGGCGCGUAGGCGGUUAGAUGUGUGAGAUGUGAAAUCCCUGGGCUUAACCUAGGAACUGCAUCUUAAACUGUCUGACUGGAGUACUGUAGAGGGUAGUGGAAUUUCCGGUGUAGCGGUGAAAUGCGUAGAGAUCGGAAGGAACACCAGUGGCGAAGGCGGCUACCUGGACAGAUACUGACGCUGAGGCACGAAAGCGUGGGGAGCAAACAGG
This 253-nucleotide ribosomal RNA is filed under the name uncultured bacterium. RNAcentral's name for it is "partial 16S ribosomal RNA". It matches the Rfam family "Bacterial small subunit ribosomal RNA", at positions 524 to 776 of the family's 1533-position model. The record is from RNAcentral.